Molecule: long non-coding RNA, 684 nt
Organism: Wasmannia auropunctata (little fire ant)
Lineage: Eukaryota; Metazoa; Arthropoda; Insecta; Hymenoptera; Formicidae
Exons: 2
Source: RefSeq, a predicted model, not a curated record
UCAACGAUUUUCGAUUCCUCGAAGUUAUCGCAAUAAAUCAAUUCAAUGAUAUAUUAUGGCAAACGUGUUUACGAUCCGUGGCUAAGAAUUAUUGCUUUUGCUACUAUGUGGCAAGCGAUAAAACAAUCGUUGAGCUCGCGUGAUGAUUCGAAUCUGUUUUACUCACUCUUUCCGAGAGAAGACCAGUAAACUGUCGAAGAUAGCGUGAUCGAAGAUUGGAAAAUAAGGGAACAGAAGGGAGCCCUUCGAAUUUUCGUGACGGUACAUGAAUGAGCAACAAGCGGUUCGCUUGUAAAAGUUUCACGAUCUUGUCAGAAAAGAGAGAUGGAUUUACACACGCUUCACGUCGGCCAACUGACGUAGGAGUUUCAAGGAAACGAGCCAAUUUACACAGCUGCUUAGUGCUGCGUCUAUGUCUUUCAAAUCGCCCUUCAUCAGUUCCUUCCUGGUGACAAAAAGGAUCCAAAUAUAAGCAGCACGGAUUAUUUAUUCCAAGUAUGGAGUAGAUCUAAAUUUAAAAUACAGAGAAUUCAAGAAUAGGAAACACACGCUGCAUAUGUAAUAUAAUUCAUUUAUUUUUAUCAAAUCUCUAAACUCUUUUAAAAUAAAAAUUAAUUUUAAAAUUAAAUUGUAAUAUGUACAAGUUUUAAUAAAGAUUGAAUAAAAGAUUACUAUGACAUUAUA